UAGUCGCUGGCAAAAUUCGAAAGGAUUUGCGAGAGGAAAGUCCGGGCUCCAAAGAGCAAUGAUGCUAGAUAACGUCUAGUGAGGGAAACCUUAAGGAAAGUGCAACAGAAAAUAACCGCCUUUGACUUUUGUUCUAGGAAAUGAAAAUUUCUAAUGUUCUUAUUAAAGCAAAGGUAAGGAUGAAAAGGCGAGGUAAGAGCUCACCGGCUUCAAGGUGACUUGUAAGCAUCAGUGUAAACCCCAUCUGGAGCAACACCUAAAAUGGAUAUUUUAAACACCUGCUCGGUGGUCCAAAAAUGCGUGGCUUGAGCUAUAUAGUGAUAUAUAGCCUAGAUAAAUGACUAAUUUAAAUGACAGAACCCGGCUUACAGAUUUGC
RNAcentral lists this RNase P RNA (377 nucleotides) under human gut metagenome. RNAcentral's name for it is "Bacterial RNase P class A". It matches the Rfam family "Bacterial RNase P class A". From Rfam's summary of the family: Ribonuclease P (RNase P) is a ubiquitous endoribonuclease, found in archaea, bacteria and eukarya as well as chloroplasts and mitochondria. The record is from RNAcentral.